GAUGAACGCUGGCGGCGUGCCUAAUACAUGCAAGUCGAGCGAACGGACGAGAAGCUUGCUUCUCUGAUGUUAGCGGCGGACGGGUGAGUAACACGUGGAUAACCUACCUAUUAGACUGGGAUAACUUCGGGAAACCGGAGCUAAUACCGGAUAAUAUUUUGAACCGCAUGGUUCAAAAGUGAAAGACGGUCUUGCUGUCACUUAUAGAUGGAUCCGCGCUGCAUUAGCUAGUUGGUAAGGUAACGGCUUACCAAGGCAACGAUGCAUAGCCGACCUGAGAGGGUGAUCGGCCACACUGGAACUGAGACACGGUCCAGACUCCUACGGGAGGCGGCAGUAGGGAAUCUUCCGCAAUGGGCGAAAGCCUGACGGAGCAACGCCGCGUGAGUGAUGAAGGUCUUCGGAUCGUAAAACUCUGUUAUUAGGGAAGAACAUAUGUGUAAGUAACUGUGCACAUCUUGACGGUACCUAAUCAGAAAGCCACGGCUAACUACGUG
This 497-nucleotide ribosomal RNA is filed under the name uncultured bacterium. RNAcentral's name for it is "partial 16S ribosomal RNA". It matches the Rfam family "Bacterial small subunit ribosomal RNA", at positions 28 to 507 of the family's 1533-position model. The record is from RNAcentral.